Molecule: ribosomal RNA, 266 nt
Filed under: uncultured bacterium
Lineage: Bacteria
Description: partial 16S ribosomal RNA
Rfam family: Bacterial small subunit ribosomal RNA
Source: RNAcentral
AUGGCGACCGGCGCACGGGUGAGUAACACGUAUCCAACCUGCCGUCUACUCUUGGACAGCCUUCUGAAAGAAAGAUUAAUACCCGAUGGCAUAGUUCUUCCGCAUGGUGGAACUAUUAAAGAAUUUCGGUCAUCGAUGGGGAUGCGUUCCAUUAGGCAGUUGGUGGGGUAACGGCCCACCAAACCUUCGAUGGAUAGGGGUUCUGAGAGGAAGGUCCCCCACAUUGGAACUGAGACACGGUCCAAACUCCUACGGGAGGCAGCAUG